UGGCUUUUUUUUUUUUUUUUUUUUUUUGAAGGUGACAACUGAACAAAGUCAUGAAAAAGUAAGCGAAAGAGCUAUGCAGGUAUGUGAGGAAAAUAUUCUAGGUAGAGGGAAAAGCCAACACAAAGGCUAUUAAUAAAUUGCUGGUGCUUUCCAGCAAAAGCAAUUGGUCAUUGUGGAAGAAACAGAGUGAACAAGGGAGAAAGGUAUGGGAAAUAACAUGAAGGGGGAAAAGAGCCAGAUCAUGUAGGGCCUCCAGGACAUGGUGAGUGCUUUGGCUUUUACACCGAGUGAAAUAGGGAGCUACAAUAGGGGUUUGAGCAGAUGAGUGACAUAAUCUGAUUUACACUUAAAAAAAUUCUGGUGGCUAGAUUAAAAAUAACUGUGGGCAGGAGCAGGGAGAUGAAUUAGUCUAUUGCAGGAGGUGACAGUAGCUUUAACCAAAGUGGUGAUAGUGGACGCUCCAGGCAAAUAGGGUGUCAAAAGCCGAGGUGCAGAGAUGGAAAGUUCAGUUCAAGGCCGGUAUCAGAACUGUGAGCAAACCAGUUGUCUUUCUAACGGGGGAAGGAAAAUGACAGCUGCCAUUUAUUGAACAUUCACUAUGUGGCAAGCAUUGUGCUAAAUUUGAUACUCCGGCGACCUCUUUUAGUCUCCAUGACAACCCUGUAAAGACAUUUAGAAUUUAGAACCUUUCAUACAGUUCCAUGACUAAAACGUAGCACACCUGGCAUUCCAACCCUUCAUUUCAUUCUACUCUAGCACUAAAGCUAGAAGGGAAGCUUGAGGCCACAUUGUGGAGUGCCAAGAGGUUUGAACUUUUGCCUGGUUUGAACUUUUACCUUCUUAAUCUUUUCCCCGCAUCCCCACAUUUGAGGACAGGACACCUCCAGGAACUGCAGCUCAGCAACAGGGGUUCAGCGUGAGCGCGGCCUGGGGAGGGUCAUCGCCUUUUUGGGGAGUGUGGGGAGAAACGCGGCUCGCCUUGUCGUGGCUGGCGAUACGCCUCUGCAGGAAGGGUGUGUCUCCCCGCUUGAGGAUUCUCCCUAUAGAUAAAGAGGAGACUCAGCAGAGCCUUAAUUAGAGAUCACAGAGGACUGACAACGAGCGUCCGGAAGACGAAUUGGCAGCGAGGUGCAUGGAUUCGAUACAGAAGCUGGAGAUAGAGUCCAGCUAACAGACCACUGCAGUUCGACGGAGCCAGAGUGAGGCAACGAGGAGAGAUGUCGGGGAAGGAAAGGGGAUGGGACUUGGGGACUGGAGCGGCUCGAGAGCGACGGAGAAGGGGGCGUUAGGCUCUAAGGAUUCUCUUACUGUGCCUCCUCCCCGUGUCCUCGGGUGGCGGCUGCGCAGCCCUCCAGCCCUCAGAGCUGCCCUGCAGCACCUUGGCCACUAGGAGGCAGGCCCGCCUUAUCUGGAGCCCCGGCCGCCGCUCACUCCAGGGAGGGCUGCGCUGCUGCUUAAAUUCCAAGUCAGGCCAGCCCCUGGAACGCUUAAUGGGAGCUUAGAUUUAGAACAGUUGAUUUUCAUUGAGACGGAAAUUUGGACAGUCUCCCACUUGAUUGAAAACGGCUAGAAACAAGGCUUACGGUAGAGCAAUGAAUGCCAGAGUGCAGGCGCCGGUGCCCAGGCGGCCCGGGGAACAGGAGGGCCGGAGGAGGAAACAGCUGCCUGCAAAACACCAGCAGCGCCCUUAAUUAACACCAGUGCUGGCCAGGGGGAUUGUGCUUCCGGAAAUUCCCAACGUCCUUUCCCUGCUUGCCCAGGGCCAUUCCAUUAUACAGUUUCAGACCAGUCCCAGGUCUGAAAUGGAAAGAGAUGUUACCCUAGAUGCCCGGAGACAGCGGGGCCGCAGAGACCUCGCACAGCCGAAUAGCAGUGGAGCAGGGAAGGAAGAGCUGAAGGACCCUGGGGAUGAUUGAACAUAGCCUCUCACCAGCGCGCUCAGGAAUUGUCCUGAGAGCAGCAGGAGGAGUGGUAAUCCUGCAAGAGAAGGUGGCUUUGUUGAGAGCCUUUAAAUUCAGCUUUAUUACUCGCCAGUCUCCUUCCUUGUGUUCUGGCCAUAUUUCUUAUCCAUUAGGCAGCCAGCCCUUCACAUGAGAUCCUCCUGGUUUUGCAUUCUUUUCUGCAAUGCUGACACUUCCUUCUAGUUACACCCUUUGGCACUCUAAUCUGUGGUCUUAGUUUUAGUCACUGAUGAAGAUAUUUGGCACAUUAACUCUUAUUUCAGUUAACACCAGAUGAAGUGAACUCAAUUCCUCUUCUCACACAAAAGUUGGCCCCAAACUAGUUCAAAAAUAUAUUUGAAUUCUUUCUUGGCUAGUGUCGGUUAUUUGUGUCCCUUUAGUGAUCUGAUUAAUAUUUGCUUUUGUGAUGGUUGUCACAUCAAGAUAGCUGCAAGCAUUGUUAAAGAGACAUUUGAUAAGAGGGACUACUUACCUGGAAUUCACCCCCAGACCACCGAAAUCUUAACUACUGAUGACAGUUUUGUGUAUCCUUUAAGGAGCUCUUGAACUCUGAAUUCUAUAGAGAAAAUAAAAAGAUUUGUUGAAAAUGACUGACCCCAUGUGGGUUGAGAACUAUAUCCAGUUAACUAAACUGUAAACAGCUAACUGAAUCUGUUAACAGUUAAGUAUGUUAUCUAUAAAAUAAGCUUCAAGUAGCACUGUGUUGUAACUUCUUGGUGCCUCCAAAUUAAGAGUUAAACCCUUAGAUCUGGCUAAGGAAAUGACUUUAUCCUAGCCCAAAGGAGACCUUUUCCUCAACUCUUCCUCCAUUAUUUUUAUUCUCUAUUGUUUACUCAUCGUCUCAUAUGUCCCCUGUCAUGUUACAUUGGAAUCAUUUCUUUUAGAUGCAAACUGCAGCUGAUGUGUUCAUUGGGUCUAUUGCAGCCCCCACCAAGUGUUCACUUCUGGUGAGAGGCAUAUCCAGGGCCUGAGUGCUGGAACCCAAAGAUGACAAGGGUGGAGCAUUGAUGAGUUAACCUCGCAGCUGGAGGGUCUGUGCUGCAUAGUCUCCCCUUGGGCCAUGAGAGCACAUGCUUGAGAAUUACAUAAGCCUGUAGCAGGGCAGGGCUCAGGGCUACGGAAUUGAUAACACCAGUGGGACUAAGGCAUCCACCAUCUGUUCUUUGUUAUGUUCAUGCCCAUCACCAAAGUAAAAAUCACAGUCAUCCUUCUCUCCACCAUUUCUGUCUCAAUCAAUCACUUCCUCCUAGGCUGGCCAAAUUAUCUUCUUCAACUUGCCAGAGGAAGAGGGAAUGUCUUUUGGUAAGGCACAGAGGAGCCCUUGGUUUUCCAGUUACACUCCUGCUAAUUGCAGAGAUUUCUCAGUUCGUGGUAAUCAUGGAGGCUUGCAUCUUUAAGCGCUUGCCAUCUGCAAAAACUGGCCCCAGUUGCUAUCCGGAGAUGGCAUCUCCCACUGAAAUCUGCAUGAACUUUGUCCCUGUGGGCUGCAGGGACCUGAGUAGUUUUCAAGUCCCUGGCUUUUGAUAGGAAGCAAAAAGCUUCUAGAUUGAGUACAGCCUGAAAAAGGAAGAGAAAUCGUGAUACUUCCUGUGUUGCAAUAACAAACACCCGUCCUAACUGCUGCUAGACAGGGAACUGGCAGUUUAACCUCUUCCUGCUCACUAGGGAGGUGGGGCAGGGCGAGUGGGAGUGGGGAGCUCCCCUUUCUUGCAGGCUCCAUCCACAGAACACUUCCUACAAACCCCUUCCUGCCUUUGUAAUCCUAGUGUUGCAAAGCUGCCCUGUCUGCUCUGUGCAGAGCCCUCUCUGUGCUCUGCCUCGCCUGUGCCCUCUCUAAUUGCCCUCUUCCUUACAAAAUCCAGCUGCCGGUUGAGGCUUCUCUCCCUGAAUUUACAGCCGUCUAAUCAACUGGUAAUUUACUUUCAAUCAGUGCCGGAUUGUGUUCCUCAGAUUCAUAUCUCCUUUUUCAUUUAGUGAGGAAAUGAUUGCCUUUCCUCUUUACCAUUUGUUUUAAAUAUUAGCUGCCAUGUUGUGCCGAGCAAUGGUCUCUUAAAUACGAAGGUACGAUCUGGCAGUUCAAGACAGCAUUUGUCCAAAGCUGUCUGAACACUUACAGUGUGCUCGAGGCAAGUCCGCAUGCCUAGGACUGGGGUAGCGUCUGUCAUGCUGUCUUAUGCCCCAGUGACUUAAGUUCUUCAGUUGUCAGUGUCAAAUCUUGAUUUCUAGAGGCUCCUUGUUAUUUAAUUCCAGCCAGGAACUGAUUUCCUUGCAGGCUUCUGUGAGGCCAUCCUGAAUGGCUGCAGUGGGGUGAGGAUGGUCUGGGGCUGUGCUAUGAGGCUUUGACCCUGAAGUUUCACCUGUUAAGAUCUGAAAAACUGCAGGCCAAGAACAUUAACAGGUUGUUUUGUGGCUUGUGGGGCAGGUUGAGUAGCACAGAAGAGAAGCUGGGGAGAUGGAGAGAGAGCAGGCAAGGGGAGAGUCAGAGAUGAAAUGAGUGACCAGUGGGUCAGCUGAGGCUCAUCCGCCCAGACCCUGCUCUUAGGCAUAUCUUGAAUGUGUCCCUGGACAUGCUCUUACAUGUGAAUGAUGUUAGUAAGUCUCAUCCUUUCUGCUGAGAAGCACUUUCCUAGUAGGACAGGAUCGGGGCUGAGGAACUUUCGACCCCAGCCCACUUUCUAGCUAUUUGCUCUUAUUAAAAAUCUUCCUGCUGGCCAGGCACAGUGACUCAAGCCUGUAAUCCCAGCACGUUAGGAGGCUGAGGUGGGCAGAUCACUUGAGCCCAGGAGUUUGAGACCAGCCUGGGCAACAUGGCAAAACCAUAUCUCUACAAAAAAUAGAAAAAUUAGCUGGGUGUGGUAGUGCAUGCCUGUGGUCCUAGCUACUCAGGAGGCUGAGGUGGGAGGAUCACCUGAGCCCAGGGGGGUUGAGGCUGCAGUGAGCCGUGAUCGUGCUACUGCGCUCCAGCCUGGGUGACAGUGUGAGACCCUGUCUAAAAAAAAAAAAAAAAAAUCUUCCUCUGAAGAGCCUGAGGAUUCCUCCCUUCUCCCAACUUCCCAUACUUCUUUUAUUUGUUUGGCUCAUUUUCAAGAGCAUUCUAGAAUUUCUCUAAAGGAGGGCCUUAGUGGUGGCCAUCUAUUUGAAGCGCUAAGGUGGGUAGAACGAUGCUAGAGGACAUGUUUCAAAGUUGCCUGGCAGAGCAGGUAAGCUCCUUUCCUUCACAGGAAACGUAGGAUAAGGGCACAGCUCCUGCAAGCAGCCUGCCUGAGUUCGAGUGCUAGGUGUCUCACUCAGCUUAGUGAUCCCAGACAAGGUUCUUAGCCUCCAUGUAUCUCAGUCUCUCUUUCUAUGGACUUAGGAUAGUAAUAUCAGGAUUCUUGCGAUGAUUAAAUAAAAUAAUGACUGUUAAGUUA
Molecule: long non-coding RNA, 5371 nt
Filed under: Homo sapiens (human)
Lineage: Eukaryota; Metazoa; Chordata; Mammalia; Primates; Hominidae
Description: HSALNT0293714
Source: RNAcentral